Molecule: ribosomal RNA, 497 nt
Filed under: uncultured bacterium
Lineage: Bacteria
Description: partial 16S ribosomal RNA
Rfam family: Bacterial small subunit ribosomal RNA
Source: RNAcentral
GAUGAACGCUGGCGGCGUGCCUAAUACAUGCAAGUCGAGCGAACAGACGAGGAGCUUGCUCCUCUGACGUUAGCGGCGGACGGGUGAGUAACACGUGUAUAACCUACCUAUAAGACUGGUAUAACUUCGGGAAUCCGGAGCUAAUACCGUAUAAUAUCUUGAACCGCAUGGUUCAAUAGUGAAAUACGGUUUUGCUGUCACUUAUAGAUGGAUCUGCGCCGCAUUAGCUAGUUGGUAAGGUAACGGCUUACCAAGGCAACGAUGCGUAACCGAACGGAGAGGGUGAUAGGCCACAUGAGAGCGGAGACACGGACAAGAGUCCUAAGAGAGGCAGCAGUAGGGAAUGUGACGCAAUGGGCGAAAGCCUGACGGAGCAACGCCGCGUGAGUGAUGAAGGUCUUCGGAUCGUAAAAAUCGGUUAUGAGGGAAGAACAAAUUUGUAAGUAACUAUGCCCGUCUUGACGGUACCUAAUCAGAAAGCCACGGCUAACUACGUG